RNAcentral lists this ribosomal RNA (491 nucleotides) under uncultured bacterium. RNAcentral describes it as "partial 16S ribosomal RNA". It matches the Rfam family "Bacterial small subunit ribosomal RNA", at positions 29 to 507 of the family's 1533-position model. The record is from RNAcentral.
AGUGAACGCUGGCGGUAGGCCUAACACAUGCAAGUCGAACGGCAGCACAGUAAGAGCUUGCUCUUACGGGUGGCGAGUGGCGGACGGGUGAGGAAUACAUCGGAAUCUACUUUUUCGUGGGGGAUAACGUAGGGAAACUUACGCUAAUACCGCAUACGACCUACGGGUGAAAGCAGGGGGUCUUCGGACCUUGCGCGAUUGAGUGAGCCGAUGUCGGAUUAGCUAGUUGGCGGGGUAAAGGCCCACCAAGGCGACGAUCCGUAGCUGGUCUGAGAGGAUGAUCAGCCACACUGGACCUGAGACACGGUCCAGACUCCUACGGGAGGCAGCAGUGGGAAUAUUGGACAAUGGGCGCAAGCCUGAUCCAGCCAUACCGCGUGGGUGAAGAAGGCCUUCGGGUUGUAAAGCCCUUUUGUUGGGAAAGAAAAGCAGCAGGUUAAUACCCCGCUGUUCUGACGGUACCCAAAGAAUAAGCACCGGCUAACUUCGUG